UUACGCCUACGGGGGGCAGCAGUGGGGAAUAUUGCACAAUGGGGGAAACCUUGAUGCAGCGACGCCGCGUGAGUGAGGAAGUAUCUCGGUAUGUAAAUCUCUAUCAGCAGGGAAGAAAAUGACGGUACCUGACCAAGAAGCCCCGGCUAACUACGUGCCAGCAGCCGCGGUAAUACGUAGGGGGCAAGCGUUAUCCGGAUUUACUGGGUGUAAAGGGAGCGUAGGCGGCUGUGUAAGCCAGAAGUGAAAGCCCGAGGCUCAACCACGGGACUGCUUUUGGAACUACAUGGCUUGAUUGCAGGAGG
Molecule: ribosomal RNA, 305 nt
Filed under: uncultured bacterium
Lineage: Bacteria
Description: bacterial SSU rRNA
Rfam family: Bacterial small subunit ribosomal RNA
Source: RNAcentral